GGGUAAACCCGGGGAACUGAAACAUCUAAGUACCCGGAGGAAGAGAAAGAAAAAUCGAUUUCCUAAGUAGCGGCGAGCGAACGGGAAAGAGCCCAAACCAGAAACUUGUUUCUGGGGUUGUGGAUAGGUCAUAAAAGAAGAGGUAUCUUAAUCGAAGAGGGCUGGAACGCCCUACCAUAGAAGGUAAUAGUCCUGUAGGUAAAAAGAGAAAACUUCGAGAUCUAAUCCAGAGUACCACGAGACACGUGAAACCUUGUGGGAAGCAGGGAGGACCACCUCCCAAGGCUAAAUACUACCUAGUGACCGAUAGUGAAGCAGUACCGUGA
This 326-nucleotide ribosomal RNA is filed under the name Clostridium botulinum. RNAcentral's name for it is "partial 23S ribosomal RNA". It matches the Rfam family "Bacterial large subunit ribosomal RNA", at positions 177 to 506 of the family's 2925-position model. Lineage: Bacteria; Bacillati; Bacillota; Clostridia; Eubacteriales; Clostridiaceae. The record is from RNAcentral.